AUUGAACGCUGGCGGCAGGCCUAACACAUGCAAGUCGAACGGCAGCACAGAAGAGCUUGCUCUUUGGGUGGCGAGUGGCGGACGGGUGAGUAAUGUCUGGGAAACUGCCCGAUGGAGGGGGAUAACUACUGGAAACGGUAGCUAAUACCGCAUAACGUCGCGAGACCAAAGUGGGGGACCUUCGGGCCUCACACCAUCGGAUGUGCCCAGAUGGGAUUAGCUAGUAGGUGGGGUAAUGGCUCACCUAGGCGACGAUCCCUAGCUGGUCUGAGAGGAUGACCAGCCACACUGGAACUGCGACACGGUCCAGACUCCUACGGGAGGCAGCAGUGGGGAAUAUUGCACGAUGGGCGCAAGCCUGAUGCAGCCAUGCCGCGUGUAUGAAGGAGGCCUUCGGGUUGUAAAGUACUUUCAGCGGGGAGGAAGGCGGUGAGGUUAAUAACCGCGUCGAUUGACGUUACCCGCAGAAGAAGCACCGGCUAACUCCGUGCCAGCCGCCGCCGUAA
RNAcentral lists this ribosomal RNA (506 nucleotides) under uncultured bacterium. Its description in RNAcentral is "partial 16S ribosomal RNA". It matches the Rfam family "Bacterial small subunit ribosomal RNA", at positions 29 to 523 of the family's 1533-position model. The record is from RNAcentral.